This 690-nucleotide long non-coding RNA is filed under the name Mus musculus (house mouse). Its description in RNAcentral is "predicted gene, 31698". The record is from RNAcentral. Lineage: Eukaryota; Metazoa; Chordata; Mammalia; Rodentia; Muridae.
AAAGGCUCCGGACGAUGGCGUGGAGCCCUGGAGAUGAUGAAUAUGCAGCAAGAGGUGCCGUGCCAGAUGAAAUAUGACCAACUAGUUACUUCAAGGUCCUCAUACCUGCCAGGAAGGACUGAAACUUGGAACUCAACAAUCCUACCUCUCAUCUAAUACACUACAAAGUCACCUUUUGGUAUCUUUGUCCAGUUAUGAGAAGCCCCAGCCAUCCGGGAAGCCAUCGUUAUGGUGCAGUGGAAUGCUUGCUAUAUUUCCUCAUGGAGAUGCACCUCUGGUGACAGGUGCUGACAGAAUUUCCAUCUUUGAGAGUGGCGGUACAGAGAACAUAGCUUCUAUGAUGCAUUGUCAGCUGACGGCUUAAAGUUCCCUCCUGUGUUUUCAAAGCCAGCAAUUGCAGGCUGCAUUGCUCUCACACUGUGAAUCUUCCUGUCCACUCCCACCUUGUACCAGGUAAGAGUCUCCUCUUUUCAGGACACGUGUGUUCAUACCAGGCUUGCCAAGAUAAUCUUCUCGUCUUAAGAUCCAUUCAUUUCAUCACGUGGAUAAAGGAGCUUUUGACAAGUAACAUAACAUUCACAGGUCUAGGAUUAGGAUUGGGAUUAAAUAAAUCUAGACAUAAGAAGGCUGUGGGAACGCUCAAGGCAAGGGGAGUGGUAGGUAUGGUGUUUCCUGAUUUCUCAGUGGCUU